This 472-nucleotide ribosomal RNA is filed under the name uncultured bacterium. RNAcentral's name for it is "SSU rRNA". It matches the Rfam family "Bacterial small subunit ribosomal RNA", at positions 26 to 518 of the family's 1533-position model. The record is from RNAcentral.
AGGACGAACGCUGGCGGCGUGCUUAACACAUGCAAGUCGAGCGGAAAGGCCCUUCGGGGUACUCGAGCGGCGAACGGGUGAGUAACACGUGAGUAAUCUGCCCCUAGCUCUGGGAUAGCUCCGGGAAACCGGGAUUAAUACCAGAUACGACCACUUUAGACAUCUGUUGUGGUGGAAAGAAUUUUGGCUAGGGAUGAGCUCGCGGCCUAUCAGCUUGUUGGUGAGGUAACGGCUCACCAAGGCGACGACGGGUAGCCGGCCUGAGAGGGCGACCGGCCACACUGGGACUGAGACACGGCCCAGACUCCUACGGGAGGCAGCAGUGGGGAAUAUUGCGCAAUGGGCGAAAGCCUGACGCAGCGACGCCGCGUGGGGGAUGAAGGCCUUCGGGUUGUAAACCCCUUUCAGCAGGACGAAGCGAAAGUGACGGUACCUGCAGAAGAAGCGCGGCUAACUACGCGCCAGCAGCCGC